This 1579-nucleotide ribosomal RNA is filed under the name uncultured Glomeromycotina. RNAcentral's name for it is "eukaryotic LSU rRNA". The stretch from base 729 to 1579 matches the Rfam family "Eukaryotic large subunit ribosomal RNA", at positions 1 to 695 of the family's 3401-position model. The record is from RNAcentral. Lineage: Eukaryota; Fungi; Glomeromycota.
UCGCUCUUCAACGAGGAAUCCCUAGUAAGCGUAAGUCAUCAGCUUGCGUUGAUUACGUCCCUGCCCUUUGUACACACCGCCCGUCGCUACUACCGAUUGAAUGGCUUAGUGAGGUCUUCGGAUCGGCGGUUGAUGAGUAGCAAUAUUCGCCGGUUGCUGAGAAGUUGAUCAAACUUGGUCAUUUAGAGGAAGUAAGAGUCGUAACAAGGUUUCCGUAGGUGAACCUGCGGAAGGAUCAUUAUAAAAUUUUCGUAUAUUUAUAUUUUUAAAUAUAUAAAAAAAAAAUGUAUUCAAAACCCACACGCUUGUAACCAAUUUUAAAAAAACAAUUAUAUCUCGCAUAUAAUUAAUAAUUAAAACAACUUUCAACAACGGAUCUCUUGGCUCUCGCAUCGAUGAAGAACGCAGCGAAAUGCGAUAGGUAGUGUGAAUUGCAGAAUUACGUGAAUCAUCGAAUCUUUGAACGCAAAUUGCACUUUCUGGUAUUCCAGGGAGUAUGCCUGUUUGAGGGUCGCCUGAAUAAAAAUCAAUACAUCGCCUUUGUUGGUGUUCUUGUGUCGGAAUUGAGCCGUCUUUUCGCAUGUUAAGUGGCUUAAAAUUCAUCUUUUAGGUGCGAUCAAAGCGUAUUUAUGAUCAAUUUUGAUUAAGAAUCGCGCGAUGAUAAUGUGCCAUCUCAUGUAGUACGUUUGACUUGUACGUCAGGUUCAUUCGUAUACGAUACUCAACUUUGACCUCAAAUCAGGUAAGGAUACCCGCUGAACUUAAGCAUAUCAAUAAGCGGAGGAAAAGAAAAUAACAAUGAUUCCCUCAGUAACGGCGAGCGAAGAGGGACAAGCUCAAAUUUUAAAUCUGUUAGGUUCUACUUGACAGAGUUGUAUUUUGAAGAAACGUUUUCUGUGUCUUGGAUUAGCCUAAAUCCUUUGGGAUAAGGUAUCAUGGAGGGUUAGAAUCCCGUUCAUGGUUAAUCUUAAAGAUGCUUUACGAUACGUUUUCCAAGAGUCGAGUUGUUUGGGAUUGCAGCUCAAAAUGGGAGGUAAAUUUCUCCUAAAGCUAAAUAUUGGCGAGAGACCGAUAGCGAACAAGUACCGUGAGGGAAAGAUGAAAAGAACUUUGAAAAGAGAGUUAAACAGUACGUGAAACUGUUGAAAGGGAAACGAUUGAAGUCAGUCUUACCAACGGGAAAUCAACCUUUGGAGUUUGAUUUUGUGGGCUUUGAAGAGUGUAAUAGCCUUCGGGUUUGCAAAUUUGUGCUCUUUUGGUGUACUUUUUCGUAAGGUUAGUUAACAUCGGUUUUGGAUGUCAUAAAAUGACUGGAGGAAUGUAGCUUCUAUCUUGUAUUGAAGUAUUAUAGCCUUUGGUAGAUGUGAUGUUCGGGACCGAGGAUUGCAACGGAUACCCAUUAGGGCUUUUCGUCUGAUCUCUGAUACGUUGCCUUGAUGUUGAAAGCGUGCUUAUGAUGUUAGGGUAUUACGGUCAAAAGGUUAGAACGGAUUAAAUUCGUUAAGGAUGUUGACGUAAUGGCUUUAAACGACCCGUCUUGAAACACGGACCAAGGAGUCUAACAUAUAUGCGAGUGUUA